RNAcentral lists this ribosomal RNA (254 nucleotides) under uncultured bacterium. RNAcentral describes it as "partial 16S ribosomal RNA". It matches the Rfam family "Bacterial small subunit ribosomal RNA", at positions 524 to 776 of the family's 1533-position model. The record is from RNAcentral.
GACGUAGGGUGCAAGCGUUGUCCGGAUUUACUGGGCGUAAAGGGCGCGUAGGCGGUCUUGUGAGUGUGAAGUGAAAUCUCCAGGGCUCAACCCGGAAACUGCUUCGCAUACUGCAAGACUUGAGGGAUGCAGAGGUUUGUGGAAUUCCUGGUGUAGCGGUGAAAUGCGUUGAUAUCAGGAGGAACACCCAUGGCGAAGGCAGCAAACUGGGCAUCAUCUGACGCUGAGGCGCGAAAGCGUGGGUAGCAAACAGG